This 203-nucleotide long non-coding RNA is filed under the name Olea europaea (common olive). RNAcentral describes it as "long non-coding RNA (OEUR_LNC008415)". Lineage: Eukaryota; Viridiplantae; Streptophyta; Magnoliopsida; Lamiales; Oleaceae. The record is from RNAcentral.
AAGUAGAGGCACGAUGCUGCGCCUCUGCGGGACCGAUCAUAGCUCCACUUGUGGAUUACAGCGUCAGUUGUAUAUUUGAACUUUCCUCCGGUGUUGUGUAUCUGGUGUAUGCAUUAUAUAGGAAUAAAAUUCCCAGAAAUUAAAUAUCACACUGAUUUCUGAAAGGGUUGGAAAUCACUUCCGAGAGAAAACAAUUGGAAAUU